This 275-nucleotide ribosomal RNA is filed under the name uncultured Streptococcus sp. RNAcentral's name for it is "partial 16S ribosomal RNA". It matches the Rfam family "Bacterial small subunit ribosomal RNA", at positions 1108 to 1382 of the family's 1533-position model. Lineage: Bacteria; Bacillati; Bacillota; Bacilli; Lactobacillales; Streptococcaceae. The record is from RNAcentral.
UUGUUAGUUGCCAUCAUUCAGUUGGGCGACUCUAGCGAGACUGCCGGUAAUAAACCGGAGGAAGGUGGGGAGUGACGUCAAAUCAUCAUGCCCCUUAUGACCUGGGCUACACACGUGCUACAAUGGUUGGUACAACGAGUUGCGAGUCGGUGACGGCGAGCUAAUCUCUUAAAGCCAAUCUCAGUUCGGAUUGUAGGCUGCAACUCGCCUACAUGAAGUCGGAAUCGCUAGUAAUCGCGGAUCAGCACGCCGCGGUGAAUACGUUCCCGGGCCUU